Schistosoma margrebowiei is the source of this 45-nucleotide non-coding RNA. Lineage: Eukaryota; Metazoa; Platyhelminthes; Trematoda; Strigeidida; Schistosomatidae. The record is from Rfam.
AUCCAGCCAGUGAGUUCCAAAUAGGAUGAAACGCGCGUCCUGGAU